GACGAACGCUGGCGGCGUGCUUAACACAUGCAAGUCGAACGGUGAAGGGACCGGUUUUUGCUGGUUCUGGAUGAGUGGCGAACGGGUGAGUAACACGUGAGUAACCUGCCCCCUUCUUCUGGAUAACCGCAUGAAAGUGUGGCUAAUACGGGAUAUUCUGCGCCUGCUGCAUGGUGGGUGUGGGAAAGAUAUUGUUUCGGUGGGGGAUGGGCUCGCGGCCUAUCAGCUUGUUGGUGGGGUGAUGGCCUACCAAGGCGGUGACGGGUAGCCGGCCUGAGAGGGUGGGGGGCCCAACGGGGACAGAGCGCGGGCGGGGACGCCAGGGGGAGGCGGCGGGGGGGAGUGUGGGAGAGUGGGCGAGGGUGUGUGGCCGUGACGCGCCGGGGUGGCUGGAGGCUUGGGUGUGGGAACGCUCUUUCGCUAGGGAGGCAGGCCUGCCCCUUUUGUGGGGGGGUUGCCGGUAGGUGAAGAAGAGGACCCGGCUAACUAGGUG
This 493-nucleotide ribosomal RNA is filed under the name uncultured bacterium. RNAcentral describes it as "partial 16S ribosomal RNA". The stretch from base 20 to 340 matches the Rfam family "Bacterial small subunit ribosomal RNA", at positions 47 to 358 of the family's 1533-position model. The record is from RNAcentral.